Dicentrarchus labrax (European seabass) is the source of this 631-nucleotide long non-coding RNA. RefSeq lists it as uncharacterized. The transcript is spliced from 3 exons. Lineage: Eukaryota; Metazoa; Chordata; Actinopteri; Moronidae. The record is from RefSeq and is a predicted model, not a curated record.
UUAUUUAUUUCACUCUGUUACGAAAGAUAAAAUCCACCUUCACCUGAUGUAACCUCACAUUAAGCAGCGUAGGAGGUGGAUAGCCCGGGGGAGACGGAGAGUGGAAGAUCGCUGUACGCAUAUGGAUCUACAGGAGAACAUCUGUUGUCUUCAUUAUAGCUGUGAUGUGACUGCCAGUGUCCAGUCAGCAAACAUCUAACUCACACAAAGACAAAAAGGCUACACCUUUCUCUGUCCUCCUCAGCACCCAACAGACAGCCUGGCAGGCGAGCUGGCAGCCAAGCAGAAUGGCAGUAGACUGGCAGGCUUAGCCCGGGGCAGCAUCUCCUGCAGAGCCAACUCUGACCAGCUGGUCCAGACUAACACCACAGAGUGGGCAUGUACCACCGUAUCAGUGGGGAGGUAGAUGUUAGCUGUGGUCCAGACACCCUCACACCUAGAGCCUGACACCUACAGCAGUAAACCUGUAUCAGUGGGAUUUAGGUGUGUGGAAGCUCCAGCCUCAGCUCUCUUUUCCUCGCGACUCGUCUCACACUUGCACUCCUCCACCACCAUCACUCGUCUCUCCCUGACCUCGGCUCCACAGCGCAGGGGCACGACCACAGUGUGAGCUUUGGAUGGGGCGCAGCGG